CCUAAACGUGAACAUGGCCGAAGGGCAACGAGCCAAGACGUACCAUUUUUCACCCUGAAUGGGAGGAAGAUUAUUUCUUUGCUUACUCUCGUUCAAAGCCUAUUGGUUUGAUAUGCAAUGCAACGGUGGCGUUGGCAAAGAAAGACAAUCUGGAGCGGCAUUUUAAAACAGAACACGGGAGCUACGAGAGGGAUUUCCCGAUAAAAACGCCUUUGUGCGCCACAGAAGUGCGAGAUUUGAAAGCGCAGAUCGCAGCAAGACAGUCGGUGUUCACCGAACCGAAGACCCAGGGUAAUAUAAGACUAUUGCUUCCUAUCGCGUCAGUCACGUCCUUGCUAAACACAAGAAGCCAUUCGGUGACGGCGAUAUUGUGAAGGAAGCCUUUCUCCAGGCAGCGGAUAGCCUGUUUGACGACUUUAAAAAUAAAACUGAGAUCGUGAAGGCUAUUAAAGAAGUGCAACUCUCCCGUAAAAUACUACUACAAGUCGACGUGAGGGAAUGGAUGUGGAUGUGGAGGAGCAACUGAAGGAUAUUGACGCUUGCGAGUGUUUUUCCCUCCAAUUUGACGAGUCGACUGAUGUGGUGGAUGUGACUCAAUUGUGUUUUCCUCGGGAUAGUUUUUGAAGAUAUGACUGCCAAGGAAGAGCUACUCACCAUUUUGCCAUUAAAAGGACAUACCAGAGGUGAGUAUAUUUUUAAUGCUUUCAUGGGCUUUGUUAGCGAGACAAAACUGCCCUCUUCAAGCUGAUCUCUAUGAUGGGCCGCACCGGUGGGUUUACUGCACUGUGCAAAGAAUGGGAGUCUUUCCCGGAUAUCCUGAAUUAUCAUUGUAUAAUUCACCAGCAAGCGUUGUGUGGAAAGAUUUUAAAUAUGAAAGAAGUGAUGGAUAUUGCGAUGAAGACUGUGUUCAGUUCAAACCAGGAGUCUGCAGAGAAGCCUUUUCUGUGCUCACUUGGAGGAGAAUGAUGCUGAGCACACAGACCUGCUGCUUCACACAGAUGUUAGGUGGUCAAGCAGAGGUACAUUUUUGGCCAGAUUUACAGAGCUGUUGCCUGAAACCGAGGACUUCCUGAAGCUUUCAAAACAUGUGGAUUACCAUAGAAAGCUAGAGGACCACCAGUGGCUUUUAGAUUUAUCUUUCCUCACUGAUCUGACUGGUGAGCUCAAUGAAUUGAAUUUAGAGCUGCGGGGUAAAGAUGUAGUCAACAUGAUGAGUUCAGUGAACACGUUUAAAAGCAAGCUACAGCUGAUGUACAGCAGGCUGCAGCGUGGGUAACCUGCACAACUUCCCACACAUGCAAUCAGAACUACAACAUCAAGGUAAAGGUGUGACACAGCUUGACAGUGCACGUUAUGAAGAGCAUGUUCAGAGCAUCUCCUCAGAGUUUGAGAGACGUUUUACUGACUUUGCAUCCAUCGAGCCUGUAGCCAGCUAUGUGUGUUAUCUAUUUGGUGCAAGUAUUGAUGUUGGUGACAUUGUCGCCAAAGUCAAAUCACUUUUUGACUUGGAAAGCUCCGCUCUUGAGGAUGAGAUUCUGACAUUGAGAUCAAAGCCAGAUCAACAUCCGCUCAACCUGGAGAGCAUGUGGUGUUCUGGAAACUACUGGUGGAGGAGAAAUAUCCCAAUCUCAGAAGAUGUGCCUUGAACCUGACAGCUCUUUUUGGAUCAACCUUUUUGUGCGAGUCUGCCUUCUUGCACAUGACAGUCAUCAAGUCCAAGCACAGAUCAGCAAUGACAGAUGGCCACCUUGCAGCCUGCCUAUGCCUGGCAACCAGGUCCUACGCUUCUGACUACGAGAAGCUAGCCUCCUCCUCCCAGUGCCAGGUCUCCCACUAAGGAAUCACAUCAGCUCAGCGGACUGCAGGCCUCAUCUCUGCAUAAUUCACACGUCUUUACAGCGCCGUGUUCUCCGUAAGUUCCCUCCAAGGCCAGGAACAGUGAGAAGAACGUGAUGUUCUGAAGGACCCCUGGGACGAUAUGAUCACAUCACCGUCUCAAAGUAAAGCCUCCUUUAUGUAACGUCAGAAAUCAAACAAGCUGACCUCCUGUCUCACCGAUUCACUCUCUGAUUAAUGGAACGAUUCAUCUUCUGGCAGGUUGAUGAGAUCAGCAGUUCCUGAUGCAGGCCCAGGGGCCUCUGAGGGCCCUCCAGAGGCUUCCUGGAGUUCAUACACUUAAUGCUGAAAAGUUUAAUUUCUCUUUAAUUAAAUCCACUCCAAUUAGCUCACAUAGAGGAUGGCUGAUGACUGCAGUAAUCACUGAGGAUCUCGUUGGCCCCUCCAGGCGUGGUUGCAUUGAGCCUGUAGGGCCCCUAUGGCAAGAAUCUGUGGCCUCUAUGUAGAAAUGAUGGACAGUUUUCACUCUUUUCUAACAUUUGGACAUUCAUUAAUGCAUUGCUGAGUGUUUGUAGCUCAGAGUGGCAGCUUCAUCCACCACCAUCUGAAUUCAGUGCUGAUGAUCCUGUUCCUGUUUUAGUCAAUGUUUAGUCUGAGAUUUUUAUGAAUUUAGGUUAAAAAAAAAAGUUUCAGUUUAGAUUUCAUCAGAGAAACUUGAGUCCCAUUCUCGCUUUUUUUUUUUUUUUUUUUUUAAGCAUUUUGAGUCUAUUGGUGCCAUAUUAGUGUCAGGUUACCAUGGUAACAGCUGUUAUUCCCGUCCAUGGUGAGGUUACUGACAAAGGACUGUUCAUGUUUGUCUGUUCUGCAGCGAUACAACAGACUGUCCUCAGAAAAUCCAGUUAUCAUUUUCAAACCCUGAACCGCUCUGGCUUCCUGUCCUGCUCACUUAGCAUUAGUAUCAGCAUUAGUAUCAGCAUUACAUCAGCAUUAGCAUCAGCAUUUGCAUUAGUAUUUGCAUUACCGCCGCUGCCUGGGUUAGGGUUAGUAGGGUUAGGGUUGGAAGGGUCAGGGUUAGUAGGGAUAGUAGGGUUAGUAGGGUUAGGGUUAGCAGGGUUACAGUUAGUAGGGUUAGAGUUGGAAGGGUUAGGGUUAGUAGUGUUAAUAAGGUUAGUAUGGUUAGGGGGGUUAGUAGGGUUAGGGUUAGUAGGGUUAAUAAGGUUAGUAGGGUUAGUGGGGUUAGUAGGGUUAAUAAGGUUAGUAUGGUUAGUAGGGUUACUAUGGCUAGGGUUAGUAGGGUUAGGUCAGUAGGGUUAGGUUUGUCACCGCAGCUGCCUGCUCUCUGCACUGAAGAGCUGCAGCUUAUUCACCAGAUGAUUCACGGACUGGUUCAAUAAUGUUUACUGUCUGGCUUCAGCUCCAGAGGAUUACUAAUCUGGAAGUGACUUCUGACAACUAAAAGUUAAUGUUACAUUUCCAUCAGUGAUGCUACUUUACCAGUGUUAGACCAGUGUUAGCUUAGCUUCUGCUGCCAAUCACAGGCAUGUGCUGUUGGUUUUAUAGCCAACUGUGAUUGGACGGAAUAUAAAGUUAAAAACCAAGCAUUUGCCUUUAUUCUGUCUACCUGUCUGUCCUUCCCUUCUGCAGAACAGCCGUGAUAACAGAAACCUGAAGUCACUUCUGAUUUCAAGUGUUUUAUAAUGGCUGUCUGGCACCGUGGGCUCAGGAUGACACCAUUUGGCCUUGGCACGGUGUCCCCGUCUAUAAAAAGUAAUGCCUACACCUAUUAAAAAAGACACUGAGUCAACAGUUUGGUUGGCAGUAUUUUAUUAUAAAUCCAGGGUUAGAGUCUUGGACAGAAGUCAAGCUCACUCAGUGCUGUUGAUGAAUUCUGUUUCAUGAAGCCCGCUGCUCUGUUCCAUUCAGGUGUGGUUUAUUUCUAAAGCUCUGCUUCUGUAGCUUCUCAAAGGGAAGAAAAUCACAGCUUGGUCUUUGCUUUUCUCUUGUCUGUGAUUUUUCUGCUUUUGUCCUCAGUUUGUCGGCUCUCUACAGUAAAUAAAUGAUAAUCUGACUUCCUCA
Long non-coding RNA from Amphiprion ocellaris (clown anemonefish), 3912 nucleotides. RefSeq lists it as uncharacterized. The record is from RefSeq and is a predicted model, not a curated record. Lineage: Eukaryota; Metazoa; Chordata; Actinopteri; Pomacentridae. The transcript has 2 exons.